Pelobates cultripes (western spadefoot toad) is the source of this 662-nucleotide non-coding RNA. Lineage: Eukaryota; Metazoa; Chordata; Amphibia; Anura; Pelobatidae. The record is from the annotation of a GenBank genome assembly.
AUCUUUCUGUCCAUAGGGUCUUUGAAGAAACCCACACCAUCAACAGGUAAAGUGGUACGUUUGGCCAAUCUAACCAUGGCUGCAUCUACCUUGGGAGCGGAAUCCCAUGUUUUAGCGUCAGUGUCCACAAAAGUAUACAGUCUGGAACAUUUUCCUUUUGCAGAGGAUUUUAUGUCCGAUCUGGACCAUUCCUCCUUGAUGAGGUCUUUUAUAGUCACAUGGACUGGAAAAGUCACCCUCUUCCUCCUAAGGUCAGAGAAGUGGUGACUGGAUGUGGAAGGCUCAUCCUUAGAAGGUUACUUCAAACUGAGAGUCUUGCGGACCCUGGAUAUCAAAUGAUCAAUUUCAGCAGGUUCCAGGAAGUCUGGAGCUGGAAGCACCACAUCCUCAGAAGAAGAACCCAGAUCUCUCAGGGAUUCCAUAGACAUACACUCCACAUCAGAGACCUCUGGAGAACACUCAGAAGGUUCCAAACACUUUGGUCGCUUGCGGGACUUCCCAGCUUCCUGAAUGCCCAGAGCGACAGCUUGUGAAAUUUUCAGCAAUAUGUCAGGCACAGGUUGGCUGGAGGGCUGCCUUUGAGAUGGGCUUGCAGCCACAGAUGGGCAAGAAAAACAGAGAUGUUUCCCCUCCAGGGCUCUGUUAUCACAGGAUUCACAUUG